GCCCUCUCUCCCAUUGGGCUGUGGGAGUUAUUUUUCUCCUCGGCCAGGGCGGGAGGCCAAGAUCAGCCUUGAGGACCAUCAUCAGGACUGCUCCUAGCCAGGCAGCCCUGUUUUCCUCCCUCACACAUUU
Molecule: non-coding RNA, 130 nt
Organism: Castor canadensis (American beaver)
Lineage: Eukaryota; Metazoa; Chordata; Mammalia; Rodentia; Castoridae
Source: Ensembl